Molecule: long non-coding RNA, 1159 nt
Filed under: Portunus trituberculatus (swimming crab)
Lineage: Eukaryota; Metazoa; Arthropoda; Malacostraca; Decapoda; Portunidae
Description: uncharacterized LOC123512737, transcript variant X1
Source: RNAcentral
UUUAUCUUUAUUUGGAGAAAGACAUUGUGUUGUACGCCUAAAUGUAUAUAAACUGCGGCUGGUAUUACGGUUACCUGUGCUAUUGCGUGCCAGAAACAAAUAAUCUGCGUGUUGCUCUUUAAUUUUGUUUUCUGUUUGUCCUUUUUCUUUUCUUGUUUGUCUUCUACAAGAGUUGCCGAUGCAAAGGCCAGUCCAGACACGGCCUUCGCAUACUGUCAUACAGGCCUGAUGGAUGUGACGUCACUGACGUCAGUGCGACUAGGCCAUCCGCGUCUACUGGGUGUGCCGGGAGUGUUGUGGAACUCCGCCGUGGUCUUGUUUUAAGUGGUUUUAGUGCACUCACUAGGCCUUCUGCCAUGCCUUACAAGUGUUGCGUUCCUUUAUGUAAAGGAAAUUACAAAAGUGGGCCAAAGGUGUGCUUAUUUUCAUUCCCAAAAGAAGAGAAGCUUGCGCGGGCUUGGCUUCAUGCUAUCAAGCAAGCAGAUUCCACCCCAACCAAAAACACCAAGGGAGGUGAGAAUAACCCACCUGGGUAUGAGGCAGUGCUACUUAUAGAGGCCUCUCAAUGAGCCAUGUGCAUCACCCCAGCAACCCUCGACUCCCAACGGCCACAAUCCGUCCAAGCAACUGCCCCAGAACACCACUGCCACCCCAGCUGAGGUCCUCUUAUGCACUGAGGCCUCCAGCAGGUCCUUCAUGGAGGGACUGGGGGUGAUUGAACAGCCACCCAUUGCCUGCAACAAAACUCUCCAAAGUGUUGGGAUGCCAGAGGGAGGUGAGAAUAACCCACCUGGGUAUGAGGCAGUGCUACUUAUAGAGGCCUCUCAAUGAGCCAUGUGCAUCACCCCAGCAACCCUCGACUCCCAACGGCCACAAUCCGUCCAAGCAACUGCCCCAGAACACCACUGCCACCCCAGCUGAGGUCCUCUUAUGCACUGAGGCCUCCAGCAGGUCCUUCAUGGAGGGACUGGGGGUGAUUGAACAGCCACCCAUUGCCUGCAACAAAACUCUCCAAAGUGUUGGGAUGCCAGAGGGAGGUGAGAAUAACCCACCUGGGUAUGAGGCAGUGCUACUUAUAGAGGCCCUCAAUGAGCCAUGUGCAUCACCCCAGCAACCCUCGACUCCCAACGGCCACAAUCCAUCCAAGCAACUUCCCCAG